CAUGAAGUUGGAAUUGCUAGUAAUCGCGGAUCAGCAUGCCGCGGUGAAUACGUUCCCGGGCCUUGUACACACCGCCCGUCACACCAUGAGAGUCGGGAACACCCGAAGUCCGUAGUCUAACCGCAAGGAGGGCGCGGCCGAAGGUGGGUUCGAUAAUUGGGGUGAAGUCGUAACAAGGUAAC
This 182-nucleotide ribosomal RNA is filed under the name uncultured bacterium. RNAcentral describes it as "partial 16S ribosomal RNA". It matches the Rfam family "Bacterial small subunit ribosomal RNA", at positions 1319 to 1500 of the family's 1533-position model. The record is from RNAcentral.